CCGCAGCCUGACUGCGGCAAGCAGGGGCGGGGCGCUCACGGGGCCUCUGUGACUCGCCGCGCAGUGGCGCUGUGCCCUGCCGGGUGCGGGCGAGGGGCGGGGCGGCCUACACAAGUGGGGCCGGACGGGCGGGGGCGGUCGCUUAUGCCCCAGGCCAGGACGCGAAAUUGACUCCAGAAGGGGUGGUCUCUGCCGACAACCUUGGGCCGCUUCGCUACGAGCUAGGGUCCCGGACGGGGCCGUUUUGUCCUCUGUGUCAGUUGCUUCGCCCGGUGAAAAAGUUUCCACCUGAGAUUUUGGGGCACCUCGAUCAUUUGUAGUCCUGAGCCACAUCCAGAAUGGAAAUUGUGUAAUUUAAGCUCAGCAGGCUGCCUGCUGAGCAAAGAUUCCCGACUUGGGACUCUAGCUCAGGACCCUGGGAUCAUGACCUGAGCUGAAGGCAGCGGCUUAAUUGACUGAGACAGCCAGGCAUCUCUUUACCAUCUAUUUAAAUACAGAAAGCAGCAGAGGAUGUGCUGCUUCCAAACUACAAAGAAAAUCAAGAAAAAGGAAACCAGAGAAAUGAGAAAACAGGAGAGUCAA
Lutra lutra (Eurasian river otter) is the source of this 582-nucleotide long non-coding RNA. RefSeq lists it as uncharacterized. Lineage: Eukaryota; Metazoa; Chordata; Mammalia; Carnivora; Mustelidae. The record is from RefSeq and is a predicted model, not a curated record. The transcript is spliced from 3 exons.